AUUAAACGCUGGCGGCAUGCCUUACACAUGCAAGUCGAACGGUAGCGCGGGGCAACCUGGCGACGAGUGGCGAACGGGUGAGUAAAGCAUCGGAACGUGCCCUGGAAUGGGGGAUAACGUAGCGAAAGUUACGCUAAUACCGCAUAUUCUGUGAGCAGGAAAGCAGGGGAUCGCAAGACCUUGCGUUCUGGGAGCGGCCGAUGUCGGAUUAGCUAGUUGGUGGGGUAAAAGCCUACCAAGGCGACGAUCCGUAGCGGGUCUGAGAGGAUGAUCCGCCACACUGGGACUGAGACACGGCCCAGACUCCUACGGGAGGCAGCAGUGGGGAAUUUUGGACAAUGGGCGGAAGCCUGAUCCAGCCAUGCCGCGUGAGUGAAGAAGGCCUCGGGUUGUAAGACUCUUCGUGGGGAAGGAAAGUUAGCACGGGUUAAGUACCCUGUGUAGAUGACGGUA
RNAcentral lists this ribosomal RNA (453 nucleotides) under uncultured bacterium. Its description in RNAcentral is "bacterial SSU rRNA". It matches the Rfam family "Bacterial small subunit ribosomal RNA", at positions 29 to 477 of the family's 1533-position model. The record is from RNAcentral.